GUCGAGAUAGCUCAGCAGGUAGAGCGGCGCCCUGUUAAGGCGAUGGUCGGAGGUUCGAGCCCUCCUCUCGGCG
Molecule: transfer RNA, 73 nt
Filed under: Caudoviricetes sp.
Lineage: Duplodnaviria; Heunggongvirae; Uroviricota; Caudoviricetes
Description: tRNA-Asn
Rfam family: tRNA
About the family: Transfer RNA (tRNA) molecules are approximately 80 nucleotides in length.
Source: RNAcentral